UGGGAUUCCUGCAGCCUCCCUUCAGAUGGAUGUCCAUCCAAGCGCUC
This 47-nucleotide non-coding RNA is filed under the name unclassified sequences. The record is from RNAcentral.